GGGACUGUAGCUCAGACUGGGAGAGCACAACGCUGAAGACGUUGGGGUCAUGGGUUCAAAUCCCAUCGGUCCCA
RNAcentral lists this transfer RNA (74 nucleotides) under Candidatus Woesearchaeota archaeon. Its description in RNAcentral is "tRNA-Phe". It matches the Rfam family "tRNA". Rfam says of the family: Transfer RNA (tRNA) molecules are approximately 80 nucleotides in length. The record is from RNAcentral. Lineage: Archaea; Nanobdellati; Candidatus Woesearchaeota.